CAGCUCAGUAGUUUUAAACUAAAACACUAGUUUUGGGGAUUAGGGAUCUCUUUGGAGCUGGCUGG
This 65-nucleotide transfer RNA is filed under the name Tristoma integrum. RNAcentral describes it as "tRNA-Pro". The record is from RNAcentral. Lineage: Eukaryota; Metazoa; Platyhelminthes; Monogenea; Capsalidea; Capsalidae.